UGUAAAAAAAAACCUAUUUAAUAUAAGAAAAAAUUAUAGGUUAGCAAAAAUUAAGCUACUUUUUUUUUUAACACUAGUUUAAAAUAGUAAAGUCCUUGAAUUAUUAUUAUAUAUUGUAAUUACUAUUUUAAAGUCCUGGCUCAACGUCCCGUGAGCUUAGCUCAGUUGGUAGGGACAUCACAUUAUAUAUGCAGGAGCUAGAGUUCGAAAACAUUUCACUUAUUUACCUAUUAAUUUAAAGUGAAAUUUCUAACCACUAGACUACUUGACAAAAAAAAAGUCCUAGAUCAACUGACAAAAAGUGCCGAAAUUAUUAGUUGGACAUCAUGACCGGAAUUCAAAACUCGACUCCUCCACUUAUAUAUGUGUGAGCUUAUAAUAACUUUGUCAUUUUCGUGUAUCUACCCAAAAAAAUAUACUAUAUUUCAAAGGAUCUCUAGAUGACUCUCUUAGGCUCUG
This 459-nucleotide long non-coding RNA is filed under the name Trifolium pratense (red clover). RNAcentral's name for it is "long non-coding RNA (TPRA_LNC004973)". The record is from RNAcentral. Lineage: Eukaryota; Viridiplantae; Streptophyta; Magnoliopsida; Fabales; Fabaceae.